RNAcentral lists this ribosomal RNA (253 nucleotides) under uncultured bacterium. RNAcentral's name for it is "partial 16S ribosomal RNA". It matches the Rfam family "Bacterial small subunit ribosomal RNA", at positions 524 to 776 of the family's 1533-position model. The record is from RNAcentral.
UACGUAGGGGGCUAGCGUUGUCCGGAAUCAUUGGGCGUAAAGAGCGUGUAGGCGGUCCGGUAAGUCCGCUGUGAAAGCCGGGGGCUCAACCCUCGAAUGCCGGUGGAUACUGUCGGGCUAGAGUGCGGAAGAGGCGAGUGGAAUUCCUGGUGUAGCGGUGAAAUGCGCAGAUAUCAGGAGGAACACCUAUUGCGAAGGCAGCUCGCUGGGACGUAACUGACGCUGAGACGCGAAAGCGUGGGGAGCAAACAGG